RNAcentral lists this ribosomal RNA (305 nucleotides) under uncultured bacterium. Its description in RNAcentral is "bacterial SSU rRNA". It matches the Rfam family "Bacterial small subunit ribosomal RNA", at positions 335 to 632 of the family's 1533-position model. The record is from RNAcentral.
UUUCCUACGGGACGCAGCAGUAGGGAAUCUUCCACAAUGGGCGAAAGCCUGAUGGAGCAACGCCGCGUGGGUGAAGAAGGUCUUCGGAUCGUAAAACCCUGUUGUUAGAGAAGAAAGUGCGUGAGAGUAACUGUUCACGUUUCGACGGUAUCUAACCAGAAAGCCACGGCUAACUACGUGCCAGCAGCCGCGGUAAUACGUAGGUGGCAAGCGUUAUCCGGAUUUAUUGGGCGUAAAGGGAACGCAGGCGGUCUUUUAAGUCUGAUGUGAAAGCCUUCGGCUCAACCGGAGAAUUGCAUCAGAAA